This 105-nucleotide non-coding RNA is filed under the name Stappia sp. RNAcentral describes it as "TPP sequence". It matches the Rfam family "TPP riboswitch aptamer (THI element)". Rfam says of the family: Vitamin B(1) in its active form thiamin pyrophosphate (TPP) is an essential coenzyme that is synthesised by coupling of pyrimidine and thiazole moieties in bacteria. The previously detected thiamin-regulatory element, thi box was extended, resulting in a new, highly conserved RNA secondary structure, the THI element, which is widely distributed in eubacteria and also occurs in some archaea. The record is from RNAcentral. RNAcentral also lists the same sequence under 1 other name. Lineage: Bacteria; Pseudomonadati; Pseudomonadota; Alphaproteobacteria; Hyphomicrobiales; Stappiaceae.
UUGAUUUCGUUGGGGUGCCCGAACGGGCUGAGAGACGCGAAGAUGCGUCAACCCACUGAACCUGAUCCGGGUCGUGCCGGCGGAGGGAACGAAUGAUGCGCCGCA